This 378-nucleotide unclassified non-coding RNA is filed under the name plant metagenome. RNAcentral describes it as "partial contains 5.8S ribosomal RNA, internal transcribed spacer 2, and large subunit ribosomal RNA". The stretch from base 1 to 105 matches the Rfam family "5.8S ribosomal RNA", at positions 50 to 154 of the family's 154-position model. The record is from RNAcentral.
GAAAUGCGAUAAGUAAUGUGAAUUGCAGAAUUCAGUGAAUCAUCGAAUCUUUGAACGCACCUUGCGCUCCUUGGUAUUCCUUGGAGCAUGCCUGUUUGAGUAUCAUGAAAUCUUCAAAGUAAAUCUUUUGUUAACUCAAUUGGUUUCUACUUUGGUAUUGGAGGUCUUUGCAGCUUCACACCUGCUCCUCUUUGUUCAUUAGCUGGAUCUCAGUGUUAUGCUUGGUUCCACUCGGCGUGAUAAGUUAUCUAUCGCUGAGGACACUGUAAAAGGUGGCCAAGGUAAAUGCAGAUGAACCGCUUCUAAUAGUCCAUUCACUUGGACAAUACUUUUAUGAUCUGAUCUCAAAUCAGGUAGGACUACCCGCUGAACUUAAGC